RNAcentral lists this ribosomal RNA (701 nucleotides) under Morchella elata. RNAcentral describes it as "eukaryotic LSU rRNA". The stretch from base 229 to 380 matches the Rfam family "5.8S ribosomal RNA". Lineage: Eukaryota; Fungi; Ascomycota; Pezizomycetes; Pezizales; Morchellaceae. The record is from RNAcentral.
GACUGCGGAGGAAUUACCAAACAUACUCAAAAGGGAGGCAUUAACGGGACCGACAGGGCUACUACCUUAUACGUUGUUGAACGUCCAGUAUGGACCCCAAGCCUCCCGCAUCUUAACCCUCCUCGUACCCAACCCUUCUUGCUUCCCCCGGCAUCUCAUCGGGGGGAGGUAACAACCAGGACUCUAUGAGAAUCACACCGCAUCAGAAUUAUAAAACACAAAAGUUAAAACUUUCAACAACGGAUCUCUUGGUUCCCACAUCCUGAAAACUUCUGGAAGUGCUGUAAGUAAUGUGAAUUGUACAAUUCACUGAAUCAUCGAAUCGUUGAACGCACAUUGCGCCCCCUGGUAUUCCGGGGGGCAUGCCUGUUCGAGCGUCAUAAAAACCUCCUCCCCCUUCGGGUUUUGUUACUAUCGUUGGGGGGUUUUGGCCUAAUGGGAUAGCGAUUGGCAAUUCUUUCCCAAUGUCCUAAAUAGACUAACCCGCCUCCAAUGCGACAGCACCGAGGCCUCCCGUGAGUUAUGGGAUAUAAUAGGCUUGCAGUAAAAUGCUCACCUCUCUCCACACCCAAUGGCACGACAGUUGCAGUUGCGGGCGUAAAUUGGAGCCCUUUUGACCCUUGUGGCCUAGCAUCCACCAUACAUAAUUUGACCUCGGAUCAGGUAGGAUACCCGCUGAACUUAAGCAUAUCCGGAGGAAA